GAUGAACGCUGGCGGCGUGCCUAAUACAUGCAAGUCGAGCGAACAGACGAGGAUCUUGCUCCUCUGACGUUAGCGGCGGACGGGUGAGUAACACGUGGAUAACCUACCUAUAAGACUGGGAUAACUUCGGGAAACCGGAGCUAAUACCGGAUAAUAUAUUGCACCGCAUGGUUCAAUAGUGAAAGACGGUUUUGCUGUCACUUAUAGAUGGAUCCGCGCCGCAUUAGCUAGUUGGUAAGGUAACGGCUUACCAAGGCGACGAUGCGUAGCCGACCUGAGAGGGUGAUAGGCCACCCUGGAACUGGGACACGGUCCAGACGCCUAAGGGAGGCAGCAGUAGGGAAUCUUCCGCAAUGGGCGAAAGCAUGACGGAGCAACGCCGCGUGAGUGAUGAAGGUCUUCGGAUCGUAAAACUCUGUUAUUAGGGAAGAACAAAUGUGUAAGUAACUAUGCACGUCUUGACGGUACCUAAUCAGAAAGCCACGGCUAACUACGUG
RNAcentral lists this ribosomal RNA (497 nucleotides) under uncultured bacterium. RNAcentral describes it as "partial 16S ribosomal RNA". It matches the Rfam family "Bacterial small subunit ribosomal RNA", at positions 28 to 507 of the family's 1533-position model. The record is from RNAcentral.